This 69-nucleotide non-coding RNA is filed under the name unclassified sequences. The record is from Rfam.
CAGGCGUAAAGGCUUGUCAAAUAGCGUGUUAAUAGCUUUGCUUUUGGCCGGGCGAGUGGUUAGUGAAUC